CCUACGGGUGGCAGCAGUGGGGAAUAUUGGACAAUGGGCGAAAGCCUGAUCCAGCCAUGCCGCGUGUGUGAAGAAGGCCUUCGGGUUGUAAAGCACUUUCAGUGGGGAAGAAAGCCUUGGGGCUAAUACCCUCGAGGAAGGACAUCACCCACAGAAGAAGCACCGGCUAACUCCGUGCCAGCAGCCGCGGUAAUACGGAGGGUGCGAGCGUUAAUCGGAAUUACUGGGCGUAAAGCGCGCGUAGGCGGUCUGAUAAGCCGGUUGUGAAAGCCCCGGGCUCAACCUGGGAACGGCAUCCGGAACUGUCAGGCUAGAGUGCAGGAGAGGAAGGUAGAAUUCCCGGUGUAGCGGUGAAAUGCGUAGAGAUCGGGAGGAAUACCAGUGGCGAAGGCGGCCUUCUGGACUGACACUGACGCUGAGGUGCGAAAGCGUGGGUAGCAAACAGGAUUAGUACCCGAGUAGUC
Molecule: ribosomal RNA, 464 nt
Filed under: Vreelandella stevensii
Lineage: Bacteria; Pseudomonadati; Pseudomonadota; Gammaproteobacteria; Oceanospirillales; Halomonadaceae
Description: partial 16S ribosomal RNA
Rfam family: Bacterial small subunit ribosomal RNA
Source: RNAcentral